AUUUUCAACCUGUUGUAGGCUUCAGAAUUGCUUAGAGGCUUCUUAAGAUUCAGAUUUCUGGGUCCUGCCCCUGAGUUGCUGACUCAGAAAAGACUGAAGGAUGAGCACAAAAUAUAUGUAUUUCUUACCAACUCAAAGAUACUAAUAAUUCUGGAUCUUUGAGAAUUACUGAUAUAAAUAAUUUUGCCCACUAAGCCAUGUUUUUCCUACAUUAACCUCCACCAAUAUUCGUUCACAGAUUGUGAAACACACAUACACACACACACACACACACACUCAAACGUAUAAUUUAUUGGGUUGUUUUGUUUUCGUUUUGUUUUUCUGGUGGUGUGGAGACAAAACCCAGGGCCUCAUGCAUUGCUAAGCAAGUACUUUACCCUGAGCCACACCCCUAGCCCAAUGUACAAUUUCAUUCUUUCAAAAUUAUUUUUUUCUUCUGUCUCCACAAAGAUCUAUGAACGGCUAAAAGCAGAAAAAUAAAUAUAUCCAUUUCUUUAUAAUUUACAUUUUCUAUCAUCCUGCAGUCUUUCUGCUUCCAAAUAGAAUAAACUUCCAAAUUAAAAUCAAACAGAUCAAAGAACAUGGUUUAAGAUAAACCUGCAAGAAAGCCAAAACUCUGAGUGAAGCAUUCAUUACACAGACAUGGGGCCAAGAAACCACCAAUUUAAUUCAAGUUGAAAAGGAGUUAAUGUAAAUGGCAAGAGAAACUAAUAGUGAAUAUAGAAGAAUUUUUUUUUUUUGCAAAUGAGCCUAUAUUUGCACGUUAAAAUCAUGGAUCUCUAUCUCUAACUUCCUAAUCUAAAUGUGUUAUUUUGAUGCAAAUCAAUCCAACAAUAUGUCAUGGCUUGGGAAAUAAAUAAAUGCUUU
Molecule: long non-coding RNA, 867 nt
Filed under: Marmota monax (woodchuck)
Lineage: Eukaryota; Metazoa; Chordata; Mammalia; Rodentia; Sciuridae
Source: RNAcentral